This 164-nucleotide small RNA is filed under the name Pan troglodytes (chimpanzee). RNAcentral describes it as "processed transcript". Lineage: Eukaryota; Metazoa; Chordata; Mammalia; Primates; Hominidae. The record is from RNAcentral.
UUUCCUUCAGCCUCUGCUGUCUGGCCGCUCUGUCUAGGUCCUGGGCCACCGGAGAGCCCUGUCCCUCCUUUCUGAAGGCGCUCCCAGGAAGCAGCGGCGGGAGCGCACCACCUUCACCCGGAGCCAACUGGAGGAGCUGGAGACACUGUUUGCCAAGACCCAGU